GACGAACGCUGGCGGCGUGCUUAACACAUGCAAGUCGAACGGAAAGGCCCCCUUGUGGGGUACUCGAGUGGCGAACGGGUGAGUAACACGUGAGUAACCUACCCUUGACUUUGGGAUAACUUCAGGAAACUGGGGCUAAUACCGGAUAGGAGCUCCUGCUGCAUGGUGGGGGUUGGAAAGUUUCGGCGGUUGGGGAUGGACUCGCGGCUUAUCAGCUUGUUGGUGGGGUAGUGGCUCACCAAGGCUUUGACGGGUAGCCGGCCUGAGAGGGUGACCGGCCACAUUGGGACUGAGAUACGGCCCAGACUCCUACGGGAGGCAGCAGUGGGGAAUAUUGCACAAUGGGCGGAAGCCUGAUGCAGCAACGCCGCGUGCGGGAUGACGGCCUUCGGGUUGUAAACCGCUUUCGCCUGUGACGAAGCGUGAGUGACGGUAAUGGGUAAAGAAGCACCCGCUAACUACGUG
This 465-nucleotide ribosomal RNA is filed under the name uncultured bacterium. RNAcentral's name for it is "partial 16S ribosomal RNA". It matches the Rfam family "Bacterial small subunit ribosomal RNA", at positions 28 to 507 of the family's 1533-position model. The record is from RNAcentral.